RNAcentral lists this long non-coding RNA (410 nucleotides) under Pan troglodytes (chimpanzee). RNAcentral describes it as "long non-coding RNA NONPTRT014090". Lineage: Eukaryota; Metazoa; Chordata; Mammalia; Primates; Hominidae. The record is from RNAcentral.
GAGAAGAUAUGUGGAUGAAAAAUAAGCACAUGAAAAAUUUCACAACAUUAUUAGAUUCUAGGGAAAUACAAAUUAAAACAAGUUACCCUACAUGCUCACUAGAAUGGAUACAACUAAAAGGACUCCAUACCAAGUGUUGGUGAUACUGCUUCUCCCAACUAACUUUAUUCUGAUUAACAUUUCUGAUUUCCUUCCUAAAUAAUUACGCUUGGUGGCUUUGAGAAUAUAAUGAGAAUAUAUCCAUUUAUACAUUGUUGGUUUUAGAAUAUCUCUCCUUAGAAGUUUUCAUCUAGGAUUAAAAUAAAGCAUCUCUAACAUUCGAGCUUCUUUUCUUUCCACAGACUUACAGUAACUUCUCUACUUAUUUGUAUUGAUUAAUAAUGUUAACCUUCCAAUACCUCAUUUUUGCA